GAUGAACGCUGGCGGCGUGCUUAACACAUGCAAGUCGAACGAACCUUCGGGUUAGUGGCGGACGGGUGAGUAACGCGUGGGAAUCUGCCCUCAGGAGGGGGAUAACGGUUGGAAACGACCGCUAAUACCCCAUAUGCCGAGAGGUGAAAUGAAUUUCGCCUGAGGAUGAGCCCGCGUCUGAUUAGCUUGUUGGUGAGGUAAUGGCUCACCAAGGCAUCGAUCAGUAGCUGGUCUGAGAGGAUGAUCAGCCACACUGGGACUGAGACACGGCCCAGACUCCUACGGGAGGCAGCAGUGGGGAAUUUUCCGCAAUGGGCGAAAGCCUGACGGAGCAACGCCGCGUGAGGGACGAAGGCCUCUGGGCUGUAAACCUCUUUUCUCAAGGAAGAAGAUAUGACGGUACUUGAGGAAUAAGCCACGGCUAAUUCCGUGCCAGCAGCCGCGGUAAUACGGGAGUGGCAAGCGUUAUCCGGAAUUAUUGGGCGUAAAGCGUCCGCAGGCGGCCUUUCAAGUCUGCUGUUAAAACGUGGAGCUUAACUCCAUCAUGGCAGUGGAAACUGAUUGGCUUGUGUAUGGUAGGGGCAGAGGGAAGUCCCGGUGUAGCGGUGAAAUGCGUAGAUAUCGGGAAGAACACCAGUGGCGAAGGCGCUCUGCUGGGCCAUUACUGACGCUCAUGGACGAAAGCCAGGGGAGCGAAAGGGAUUAGAUACCCCUGUAGUCCUGGCCGUAAACGAUGAACACUAGGUGUCGGGGGAAUCGACCCCUUCGGUGUCGUAGCUAACGCGUUAAGUGUUCCGCCUGGGGAGUACGCACGCAAGUGUGAAACUCAAAGGAAUUGACGGGGGCCCGCACAAGCGGUGGAGUAUGUGGUUUAAUUCGAUGCAACGCGAAGAACCUUACCAGGGCUUGACAUCCUGCGAACCUUUAAGAAAUUAGAGGGUGCCUUCGGGAACGCAGUGACAGGUGGUGCAUGGCUGUCGUCAGCUCGUGUCGUGAGAUGUUGGGUUAAGUCCCGCAACGAGCGCAACCCACGUUUUUAGUUGCCAGCAUUUAGUUGGGCACUCUAGAAAGACCGCCGGUGAUAAACCGGAGGAAGGUGUGGAUGACGUCAAGUCAUCAUGCCCCUUGCGUCCUGGGCUACACACGUACUACAAUGCUACGGACAAAGGGCAGCAAACUCGCGAGAGCUAGCAAAUCCCAUAAACCGUGGCUCAGUUCAGAUCGUAGGCUGCAACUCGCCUACGUGAAGUAGGAAUCGCUAGUAAUCGCAGGUCAGCAUACUGCGGUGAAUACGUUCCCGGGCCUUGUACACACCGCCCGUC
Molecule: ribosomal RNA, 1322 nt
Filed under: uncultured bacterium
Lineage: Bacteria
Description: bacterial SSU rRNA
Rfam family: Bacterial small subunit ribosomal RNA
Source: RNAcentral